This 578-nucleotide ribosomal RNA is filed under the name uncultured bacterium. RNAcentral describes it as "bacterial SSU rRNA". It matches the Rfam family "Bacterial small subunit ribosomal RNA", at positions 57 to 631 of the family's 1533-position model. The record is from RNAcentral.
GCAGUCGAACGGCAGCACGGACUUCGGUCUGGUGGCGAGUGGCGAACGGGUUAGUAAUAUAUCGGAACAUACCCUAGAGUGGGGGAUAACGUAGCGAAAGUUACGCUAAUACCGCAUACGCACUAAGGUGGAAAGUGGGGGAUCGCAAGACCUCAUGCUCAUGGAGUGGCCGAUAUCUGAUUAGCUAGUUGGUGAGGUAAAGGCUCACCAAGGCGACGAUCAGUAGCUGGUUUGAGAGAACGACCAGCCACACUGGAACUGAGACACGGUCCAGACUCCUACGGGAGGCAGCAGUGGGGAAUUUUGGGCAAUGGGCGCAAGCCUGAUCCAGCAAUGCCGCGUGAGUGAAGAAGGCCUUCGGGUUGUAAAGCUCUUUUGUCAGGGAAGAAACGGUAGUCUCUAAUACAGAUUGCUAACGACGGUACCUGAAGAAUAAGCACCGGCUAACUACGUGCCAGCAGCCGCGGUAAUACGUAGGGUGCAAGCGUUAAUCGGAAUUACUGGGCGUAAAGCGUGCGCAGGCGGUUAUAUAAGUCAGAUGUGAAAUCCCCGGGCUCAACCUGGGAACUGCAUUUGAG